RNAcentral lists this ribosomal RNA (245 nucleotides) under uncultured Caldimonas sp. Its description in RNAcentral is "partial 16S ribosomal RNA". It matches the Rfam family "Bacterial small subunit ribosomal RNA", at positions 524 to 768 of the family's 1533-position model. Lineage: Bacteria; Pseudomonadati; Pseudomonadota; Betaproteobacteria; Burkholderiales; Sphaerotilaceae. The record is from RNAcentral.
UACGUAGGGUGCGAGCGUUAAUCGGAAUUACUGGGCGUAAAGCGUGCGCAGGCGGUUCGCUGUGUCCGAUGUGAAAGCCCCGGGCUUAACCUGGGAAUGGCAUUGGAAACUGGCGGGCUUGAGUGUGGCAGAGGGGGGUGGAAUUCCGCGUGUAGCAGUGAAAUGCGUAGAGAUGCGGAGGAACACCGAUGGCGAAGGCAGCCCCCUGGGCUAACACUGACGCUCAGGCACGAAAGCGUGGGGAG